UACGUAGGGUGCGAGCGUUGUCCGGAAUUAUUGGGCGUAAAGAGCUUGUAGGUGGUUUGUCGCGUCUGCUGUGAAAAUCCGAGCUCAACCUCGGACUUGCAGUGGGUACGGGCAGACUAGAGUGUGGUAGGGGAGACUGGAAUUCCUGGUGUAGCGGUGGAAUGCGCAGAUAUCAGGAGGAACACCGAUGGCGAAGGCAGGUCUCUGGGCCAUUACUGA
RNAcentral lists this ribosomal RNA (219 nucleotides) under uncultured bacterium. RNAcentral's name for it is "partial 16S ribosomal RNA". It matches the Rfam family "Bacterial small subunit ribosomal RNA", at positions 524 to 743 of the family's 1533-position model. The record is from RNAcentral.